UUAAGCGACUAAGCGUACACGGUGGAUGCCCUGGCAGUCAGAGGCGAUGAAGGACGUGCUAAUCUGCGAUAAGCGUCGGUAAGGUGAUAUGAACCGUUAUAACCGGCGAUUUCCGAAUGGGGAAACCCAGUGUGAUUCGUCACACUAUCAUUAACUGAAUCCAUAGGUUAAUGAGGCGAACCGGGGGAACUGAAACAUCUAAGUACCCCGAGGAAAAGAAAUCAACCGAGAUUCCCCCAGUAGCGGCGAGCGAACGGGGAGCAGCCCAGAGCCUGAAUCAGUGUGUGUGUUAGUGGAAGCGUCUGGAAAGGCGUGCGAUACAGGGUGACAGCCCCGUACACAAAAAUGCACAUAUUGUGAGCUCGAUGAGUAGGGCGGGACACGUGGUAUCCUGUCUGAAUAUGGGGGGACCAUCCUCCAAGGCUAAAUACUCCUGACUGACCGAUAGUGAACCAGUACCGUGAGGGAAAGGCGAAAAGAACCCCGGCGAGGGGAGUGAAAAAGAACCUGAAACCGUGUACGUACAAGCAGUGGGAGCACGCUUAGGCGUGUGACUGCGUACCUUUUGUAUAAUGGGUCAGCGACUUAUAUUCUGUAGCAAGGUUAACCGAAUAGGGGAGCCGAAGGGAAACCGAGUCUUAACUGGGCGUUAAGUUGCAGGGUAUAGACCCGAAACCCGGUGAUCUAGCCAUGGGCAGGUUGAAGGUUGGGUAACACUAACUGGAGGACCGAACCGACUAAUGUUGAAAAAUUAGCGGAUGACUUGUGGCUGGGGGUGAAAGGCCAAUCAAACCGGGAGAUAGCUGGUUCUCCCCGAAAGCUAUUUAGGUAGCGCCUCGUGAAUUCAUCUCCGGGGGUAGAGCACUGUUUCGGCAAGGGGGUCAUCCCGACUUACCAACCCGAUGCAAACUGCGAAUACCGGAGAAUGUUAUCACGGGAGACACACGGCGGGUGCUAACGUCCGUCGUGAAGAGGGAAACAACCCAGACCGCCAGCUAAGGUCCCAAAGUCAUGGUUAAGUGGGAAACGAUGUGGGAAGGCCCAGACAGCCAGGAUGUUGGCUUAGAAGCAGCCAUCAUUUAAAGAAAGCGUAAUAGCUCACUGGUCGAGUCGGCCUGCGCGGAAGAUGUAACGGGGCUAAACCAUGCACCGAAGCUGCGGCAGCGACGCUUAUGCGUUGUUGGGUAGGGGAGCGUUCUGUAAGCCUGCGAAGGUGUGCUGUGAGGCAUGCUGGAGGUAUCAGAAGUGCGAAUGCUGACAUAAGUAACGAUAAAGCGGGUGAAAAGCCCGCUCGCCGGAAGACCAAGGGUUCCUGUCCAACGUUAAUCGGGGCAGGGUGAGUCGACCCCUAAGGCGAGGCCGAAAGGCGUAGUCGAUGGGAAACAGGUUAAUAUUCCUGUACUUGGUGUUACUGCGAAGGGGGGACGGAGAAGGCUAUGUUGGCCGGGCGACGGUUGUCCCGGUUUAAGCGUGUAGGCUGGUUUUCCAGGCAAAUCCGGAAAAUCAAGGCUGAGGCGUGAUGACGAGGCACUACGGUGCUGAAGCAACAAAUGCCCUGCUUCCAGGAAAAGCCUCUAAGCAUCAGGUAACAUCAAAUCGUACCCCAAACCGACACAGGUGGUCAGGUAGAGAAUACCAAGGCGCUUGAGAGAACUCGGGUGAAGGAACUAGGCAAAAUGGUGCCGUAACUUCGGGAGAAGGCACGCUGAUAUGUAGGUGAAGUGAUUUACUCAUGGAGCUGAAAUCAGUCGAAGAUACCAGCUGGCUGCAACUGUUUAUUAAAAACACAGCACUGUGCAAACACGAAAGUGGACGUAUACGGUGUGACGCCUGCCCGGUGCCGGAAGGUUAAUUGAUGGGGUUAGCGCAAGCGAAGCUCUUGAUCGAAGCCCCGGUAAACGGCGGCCGUAACUAUAACGGUCCUAAGGUAGCGAAAUUCCUUGUCGGGUAAGUUCCGACCUGCACGAAUGGCGUAAUGAUGGCCAGGCUGUCUCCACCCGAGACUCAGUGAAAUUGAACUCGCUGUGAAGAUGCAGUGUACCCGCGGCAAGACGGAAAGACCCCGUGAACCUUUACUAUAGCUUGACACUGAACAUUGAGCCUUGAUGUGUAGGAUAGGUGGGAGGCUUUGAAGUGUGGACGCCAGUCUGCAUGGAGCCGACCUUGAAAUACCACCCUUUAAUGUUUGAUGUUCUAACGUGGACCCGUAAUCCGGGUUGCGGACAGUGUCUGGUGGGUAGUUUGACUGGGGCGGUCUCCUCCUAAAGAGUAACGGAGGAGCACGAAGGUUGGCUAAUCCUGGUCGGACAUCAGGAGGUUAGUGCAAUGGCAUAAGCCAGCUUGACUGCGAGCGUGACGGCGCGAGCAGGUGCGAAAGCAGGUCAUAGUGAUCCGGUGGUUCUGAAUGGAAGGGCCAUCGCUCAACGGAUAAAAGGUACUCCGGGGAUAACAGGCUGAUACCGCCCAAGAGUUCAUAUCGACGGCGGUGUUUGGCACCUCGAUGUCGGCUCAUCACAUCCUGGGGCUGAAGUAGGUCCCAAGGGUAUGGCUGUUCGCCAUUUAAAGUGGUACGCGAGCUGGGUUUAGAACGUCGUGAGACAGUUCGGUCCCUAUCUGCCGUGGGCGCUGGAGAACUGAGGGGGGCUGCUCCUAGUACGAGAGGACCGGAGUGGACGCAUCACUGGUGUUCGGGUUGUCAUGCCAAUGGCACUGCCCGGUAGCUAAAUGCGGAAGAGAUAAGUGCUGAAAGCAUCUAAGCACGAAACUUGCCCCGAGAUGAGUUCUCCCUGACCCUUUAAGGGUCCUGAAGGAACGUUGAAGACGACGACGUUGAUAGGCCGGGUGUGUAAGCGCAGCGAUGCGUUGAGCUAACCGGUACUAAUGAACCGUGAGGCUUAACCUU
RNAcentral lists this ribosomal RNA (2902 nucleotides) under Escherichia coli. RNAcentral describes it as "bacterial LSU rRNA". It matches the Rfam family "Bacterial large subunit ribosomal RNA". Lineage: Bacteria; Pseudomonadati; Pseudomonadota; Gammaproteobacteria; Enterobacterales; Enterobacteriaceae. The record is from RNAcentral.